AUUCCUGGAGAAAGGAAAGGAGAGAGAGAGGCAAAGAGCCUUUUUUCACCCAGCCACUUCUUCCUGGCAGAGGCAGAGUAUGAUUGAUAUAAAGAGAUCCAGCACUGAUUUUAAGACAUCAGGUAAUGGAGAGCUCCCCCAGCUCCUGAAUUCAAUCAACAGCUUGGAUUGUCCCCAGAUGGAGGACAAGGAUGUGUCACUCCACGGUGGCUCUGAGCAGCUGGGCCAGGGCACAGGAGACAUUCCAGAAUCACAGAAUAUACUGAGUUGGGACCCACCAGGAUUGAGUCCGGCUCCCAGCCCUGCACAGGACACCCCAGCAGUCAUCACGUGCCCAGGAACGUUGUCCAGAUCUCUGGAAUUCUGUCAUGCUGGGGGCUGUGACCACUUCACAGAAUCACAGAAUCACGCAAGGUUGGAAGAGACCUUCAAGAUCAUCGAGUCCAUCUUGUUUCCUGACACCUCAACUAAAACCUGGCACUGAGUGCCACGUCCAGGCUUUUCUCUGGGAUUAAAUCCUUCUGUCAGUAUUUGAACAAUUUGGUUUUGCCCUCUGGAGCACCCUAUUCCCAGUCUGUGUGAUGAGGAAGAAAUCCAAAAGUCAGUCAGUUUCCCAUCCCAGAUGGGAACGUGUCCCAGCCAUCUGGAAGCAGGUGGCUGUGAGCAGGGAGCAUAUGAAGCUCACUAAAGAUUUGUGUGAAAUAUCUUGAUUUCAGGUUUGUUUUUUUGCUGUUGGGGUUUUUUUUGUUUUGGUUUGGGUUUUUUUUGUGUUUUUUGUUUGGUUGGUUUUCUUGGUUU
Passer domesticus (house sparrow) is the source of this 798-nucleotide long non-coding RNA. RefSeq lists it as uncharacterized. The transcript is spliced from 3 exons. The record is from RefSeq and is a predicted model, not a curated record. NCBI's taxonomy places the organism in Eukaryota, Metazoa, Chordata, Aves, Passeriformes, Passeridae.